RNAcentral lists this ribosomal RNA (497 nucleotides) under uncultured bacterium. Its description in RNAcentral is "partial 16S ribosomal RNA". It matches the Rfam family "Bacterial small subunit ribosomal RNA", at positions 28 to 507 of the family's 1533-position model. The record is from RNAcentral.
GAUGAACGCUGGCGGCGUGCCUAAUACAUGCAAGUCGAGCGGACAGACAAUGAGCUUGCUCCUCUGACGUUAGCGGCGGGCGGGUGAGUAACACGUGGAUAACCUACCUCUAAUACUGGGAUAACAUCGGGAAACCGGAUCUACUACCGGAUCACAUGUUGAACCGCAUGGAUCAGCAGUGAAUGACGGUCUGGCUGUCACUUAUAGAUGGAUCCGCGCCGCAUUAGCUAGUUGGUAAGGUAACGGCUUACCAAGGCAACGAUGCGUAGCCGACCUGAGAGGGUGAUCGGCCACACUGGAACUGAGACACGGUCCAGACUCCUACGGGAGGCAGCAGUAGGGAAUCUUCGGCAAUGGGCGAAAGCCUGACGGAGCAACGCCGCGUGAGUGAAGAAGGUCUUCGGAUCGUAAAACCCUGUUAUUAGGAAAGAAAAACUGUGUAUGAAAAUAUGCACGUUUUGACGGUACCUAAACAGAAAGCACCGGCUAACUACGUG